AAAGUCGUAACAAGGUCUCCGUAGGUGAACCUGCGGAGGGAUCAUUCACAUGAUUACUUUAUUUAACAAACUGUGAACUUUAUAUACUAUUCGUGUGUUGUUGUCUUGUUGAGAUUUAUCUUGACACACAUCAACACAUUGUCAUUCGAUUGAACAUAAGAUAGUUGGCUUGAAUUUUAAUUAAUUCUCUCUCAGCUUUGAUUUGAUUUGAAAACUAAACAUUUUUAAUCAAUCAACCAUAAACAUAGAAACAACUCUAUGCCCUGGAUAUCUUGGUUCUC
This 281-nucleotide unclassified non-coding RNA is filed under the name Glomeromycotina sp. RNAcentral describes it as "partial contains small subunit ribosomal RNA, internal transcribed spacer 1, and 5.8S ribosomal RNA". The stretch from base 1 to 47 matches the Rfam family "Eukaryotic small subunit ribosomal RNA", at positions 1785 to 1831 of the family's 1831-position model. Lineage: Eukaryota; Fungi; Glomeromycota. The record is from RNAcentral.